Molecule: small nuclear RNA, 164 nt
Organism: Pogona vitticeps (central bearded dragon)
Lineage: Eukaryota; Metazoa; Chordata; Lepidosauria; Squamata; Agamidae
Gene: U1
Rfam family: U1 spliceosomal RNA
About the family: U1 is a small nuclear RNA (snRNA) component of the spliceosome (involved in pre-mRNA splicing). Its 5' end forms complementary base pairs with the 5' splice junction, thus defining the 5' donor site of an intron. There are significant differences in sequence and secondary structure between metazoan and yeast U1 snRNAs, the latter being much longer (568 nucleotides as compared to 164 nucleotides in human).
Source: Ensembl
ACUCAUACCUGGCAGGGGAGAUACCAUGAUCAUGAAAGUGAUUUUCCUAGGGUAAGGCUUGUCCAUUGCACUUCAGGUGUGCUAAUCCCUGUGAUUUCCCCAAAUGUGGGGAACUCAACUGCCUAAUUUAUGGUAGUGGGGGACUGUGUUUGUGGUUUCCCCUA